This is a long non-coding RNA of Oncorhynchus keta (chum salmon), 1742 nucleotides long. RefSeq lists it as uncharacterized. The transcript is spliced from 3 exons. Lineage: Eukaryota; Metazoa; Chordata; Actinopteri; Salmoniformes; Salmonidae. The record is from RefSeq and is a predicted model, not a curated record.
UUGAUAUAAUAACAUAAUGUCAGUCAGUUGAUAUAAUAACAUAAUGUCAGUCAGUUGAUAUAAUAACAUAAUGUCAGUCAGUUGAUAUAAUAACAUAAUGUCAGUCAGUUGAUAUAAUAACAUAAUGUCAGUCAGAUGAUAUAAUAACAUAAUGUCAGUCAGUUGAUAUAAUAACAUAAUGUCAGUCAGUUGAUAUAAUAACAUAAUGUCAGUCAGUUGAUAUAAUAACAUAAUGUCAGUCAGUUGAUAUAAUAACAUAAUGUCAGUCAGUUGAUAUAAUAACAUAAUGUCAGUCAGUUGAUAUAAUAACAUAAUGUAUGCUAUUUUUCCAAUACAUUUCUCAUAUGCUUUUCCUCAGCAGAAAUCGAACCCACAAUAUAUAUAAGUUUUAAAUCCAUGUUUUAUUUUUAUUUUAUUGAAUAUUAAAACAUACAAUCUACCUCCUGCCGCUCAGCAUCUACAUUACGUCCAGUCUAACAGACUCCCAUCCAGAGAAACCCACAGGAGUCUAACAGACUCCCAUCCAGAGAGACCCACAGGAGUCUAACAGACUCCCAUCCAGAGAGACCCACAGGAGUCUAACAGACUCCCAUCCAGAGAGACCCACAGGAGCCUAACAGACUCCCAUCCAGAGAGACCCACAGGAGUCUAACAGACUCCCAUCCAGAGAGACCCACAGGAGUCUAACAGACUCCCAUCCAGAGAGACCCACAGGAGCCUAACAGACUCCCAUCCAGAGAGACCCACAGGAGUCUUAACAGACUCCCAUCCAGAGAGACCCACAGGAGCACCCCGCCCAAGAGCACAUUGACAGAUCUCCCACCAAGUUGAAUCGGGGAUUCUAAUCAGCGACCUCUCAACCACCGGCCCAAGCUCCCAACCGCCAGGCCACCAAACCAUCCAAGGUCCCAACCGCCAGGCCACCAAACCAUCCAAGGUCCCAACCGCCAGGCCACCAAACCAUCCAAGCUCCCAACCGCCAGGCCACCAAACCAUCCAAGCUCCCAACCGCCAGGCCACCAAACCAUCCAAGCUCCCAACCGCCAGGCCACCAAACCAUCCAAGCUCCCAACCGCCAGGCCACCAAACCAUCCAAGCUCCCAACCGCCAGGCCACCAAACCAUCCAAGCUCCCAACCGCCAGGCCACCAAACCAUCCAAGCUCCCAACCGCUAGGCCACCAAACCAUCCAAGGUCCCCCCACAGUUCCCCCCUGAGAGCUGCCUCUCAACCCCCAGUCUUUAGUGUUGAAAGCUCCAUGCUCUGCCAGCUGAGCCAUACAGGACCACAGGUGGACUCAGUUGGACUCAGGUGGAGUCAGUAGGAUUCAUUUGUAGUCAGUAGGACUCAGUCAGUAAGACUUGGUUGUAGUCAGUAGGACUCAGUCAGCAAGACUUGGUUGUAGUCAGUAGGACUCAGUCAGUAAGACUUGGUUGUAGUCAGUAGGACUCAGUCAGUAAGACUUGGUUGUAGUCAGUAGGACUCAGUCAGUAAGACUUGGUUGUAGUCAGUAGGACUCAGUCAGUAAGACUUGGUUGUAGUCAGUAGGACUCAGUCAGUAAGACUUGGUUGUAGUCAGUAGGACUCAGUCAGUAAGACUUGGUUGUAGUCAGUAGGACUCAGUCAGUAAGACUUGGUUGUAGUCAGUAGGACUCAGUCAGUAAGACUUGGUUGUAGUCAGUAGGACUCAGUCAGUAAGUCUUGGUUGUAGUCAGUAGGACUCAGUCAGUAAGUCUUGGUUGU